UACGUAGGGUGCAAGCGUUGUCCGGAAUUAUUGGGCGUAAAGCGCUCGCAGGUGGUUCGAUGCGUCGUGCGUGAAAGACCCCGGCUCAACUGGGGAGGGUCGUGCGAUACGGUCGAACUGGAGGCCAGUAGGGGGAUGCGGAAUUCCGGGUGUAGUGGUGGAAUGCGUAGAGAUCCGGAGGAACACCAGCGGCGAAGGCGGCAUCCUGGACUGGUCCUGACACUCAGGAGCGAAAGCGUGGGGAGCGAUCCGG
RNAcentral lists this ribosomal RNA (253 nucleotides) under uncultured bacterium. RNAcentral describes it as "partial 16S ribosomal RNA". It matches the Rfam family "Bacterial small subunit ribosomal RNA", at positions 524 to 776 of the family's 1533-position model. The record is from RNAcentral.